Bufo gargarizans (Asiatic toad) is the source of this 1023-nucleotide long non-coding RNA. RefSeq lists it as uncharacterized. The record is from RefSeq and is a predicted model, not a curated record. Lineage: Eukaryota; Metazoa; Chordata; Amphibia; Anura; Bufonidae. The transcript has 4 exons.
CUGUAAAGCAGAUUGCACUAGUCUACGAAAUGUACAGGGAGUGUAAUGGCAAAUAGUCAGGGGAUCACAAUGACACAGAAUAUCCCCAUCUGCAGCAGUGAACUACUCACAGUUUAGGGGCAGGUCUAAACAACAGUAGGUGGAUGAUUUUCUGGAUAUCAUUUUUGAAGUCAUUCCGUAUAUUCAACUUUUCGGAAGGUUUGGACUUUUAUCACGGACAGAAUUCAGAAAUGUAAAGUUGCAAAUGCAUUUUGGGAGCUGAGAAGUCACUCGGAUGGAUGUGUAUAUAAGCAAUCUGCAUUCUGAUUCCAAGAAGGAACCGGGAGAAUUAUACAUUCAGUUUGGGUAUAAAUGUCAAAGACAUGUUAGGCUGGAAUCACACGCAGCAUUUUGUGCGAGAGUGCUGAACCAGUGUGCAGAGAAUGCCACUGAAGAAACAAGCGAGUAUAUCAUUUGUUAAUGACAUGGUAAGGGUUGUUGACUCUAGUGUGUGAGUGCUCUUGAGAUAGGAAUACAGAUUGUGAGCCCCAUUGUAGUUCUGAUGUGAAUGAUGAAAAUCUCUAUGGAGCACUCUAUAUAGGCAAAAAGAAAUAACCUUAUCAAAGAUAUUUGUAAUGCAGCAAAACACUAACUCGUAUCCAUUGGCAUUACAUGGGGCGACGAUAGUAGAACUGCGAAAGUGCUGUGAGGCAACGCAAUCCAGCUGUUUUGCUUAAAUUUUUUGGGUACUGAUUCAACAACUAUAAGCAAUAAAUGGGUAUUUACAUUGUGCUAAUUGUUUCAUUAGCGGGAGACAGGGUGCUGUGCAGUCCCAUGAAGCAGCCGUCAAAUAAGGAAGCCCCACGGCUUGGAUGUACAGGUCCGGGUGGCUUGCCAGUGCUAAAGGCUGUAUUACACCAACAGAUUAUCUGACAGAUUUUUGGUCAGAAGGCCGUUUACACACACAGAUCUUUUGUUAUAGACACCAACUAUUGGUCUGAUUGGACAGAAAUUGGUCAGAUAAUCUGUUGACGUAACACAGCU